Molecule: ribosomal RNA, 167 nt
Filed under: uncultured bacterium
Lineage: Bacteria
Description: partial 16S ribosomal RNA
Rfam family: Bacterial small subunit ribosomal RNA
Source: RNAcentral
AGGCAGCAGUGAGGAAUAUUGGUCAAUGGGCGAGAGCCUGAACCAAGCCAAGUCGCGUGAGGGAAGACGGUCCUAUGGAUUGUAAACCUCUUUUGCCGGGGAGCAAAGAGCGGCACGUGUGCCGCGCCGAGAGUACCCGGAGAAAAAGCAUCGGCUAACUCCGUGCC